CACGUAGGGUGCGAGCGUUGUCCGUAAUUAUUGGGCGUAAAGAGCUCGUAGGCGGUGUGUCGCGUCGGCCGUGAAAACCUGCAGCUUAACUGUGGGCUUGCGGUCGAUACGGGCAUCACUGGAGUUCGGCAGGGGAGACUGGAAUUCCUGGUGUAGCGGUGAAAUGCGCAGAUAUCAGGAGGAACACCGGUGGCGAAGGCGGGUCUCUGGGCCGAUACUGACGCUGAGGAGCGAAAGCGUGGGGAGCGAACAGG
This 254-nucleotide ribosomal RNA is filed under the name uncultured bacterium. RNAcentral's name for it is "partial 16S ribosomal RNA". It matches the Rfam family "Bacterial small subunit ribosomal RNA", at positions 524 to 776 of the family's 1533-position model. The record is from RNAcentral.